Molecule: ribosomal RNA, 253 nt
Filed under: uncultured bacterium
Lineage: Bacteria
Description: partial 16S ribosomal RNA
Rfam family: Bacterial small subunit ribosomal RNA
Source: RNAcentral
UACGGGGGGGGCAAGCGUUGUUCGGAAUUACUGGGCGUAAAGGGCUCGUAGGUGGCCAACUAAGUCAGACGUGAAAUCCCUCGGCUUAACCGGGGAACUGCGUCUGAUACUGGAUGGCUUGAGUUUGGGAGAGGGACGCGGAAUUCCAGGUGUAGCGGUGAAAUGCGUAGAUAUCAGGAGGAAUACCGAUGGCGAAGGCAGGUCUCUGGGCUGAAACUGACGCUCAUGCACGAAAGCGUGGGGAGCAAACAGG